UUGCAACCAAAAUGACAUCAAACAUCACUGGCCUGACUUGAGCAGCUCUGCCCGGAGAUGGAGCCAGCAACUUAGCUGCUACCGGUCCAGUCCAGGCUACCUGCAGACCUCCUCCCAGACCUCCUUUUCAGCACCUCCUUAACAGGAGAGGUGGUGGAAAUGAUCAGAGUUGCAUUCAACUUGAAUAAAGAUGAGAAACUCUGGUUUGUGGAGCCACUGGUCUGAGGGGAGGACUUCUGUUUAAACCAUUUCCAUUUUUGGGAUAUUUUCUAGGACUGUAGAGGUGGUGAUCAGAGAUUAAUUUAACUUGGAUAAAGAUGAGAGUCUCUGCUCUGGGGAGGAGAGUCACUGACCUUCAAUGGUUUGUUGCCUGAUAAAGAGGAUACUUGCUGGCUUGAGGAGACUAUAAUGUUUUGAGGAGGAAAUGUGGCUUGAUGACUUAAAGAGGAGGAGGAAUUAUUGGCCGACACUUUUAAUUACCAACGUAACCUCAGUGGAACUGUGGCUUCAUCGAGUUCCAGCUCUAGGCAGACAGCACAUCAGGAAGGCUGUAAGACAUCACAGAGACAGAUGCUUGGCUUUUUCUUGGUCUUGGAGAUUCGCUCUGAUGUUUCAAUCCCUUUUGGAGCUUCUAGAUGCUGGCUGUCUGGCCCCUCCUGUUGGUUCUCUGGCCCCUCCUGCUGGUUCUCUGAACUCCCCUCCUGGUUCUCUGCCCAUGCCUGUUGCCUCCUUGGCCCCUCCUGCUGGCCAUCUCCAGAUGCAACAGGCUCUUGGCUUACUUGUUGGCCUGUCGCCCACACCGGCAAUUCCUGACCUUGGUUGUAGUCGUGGCUGUGUUGGGUGGUUGGACACCGGGUGAUGUACUGGGUGCUGAACUUCUGGAUUUGCUCAUCAGCCUCCAGAUUAAUCUGCUCCAGCCUUCAGCAGCUCCUUCCUCUUCUCCCUCUCUCUCUCUGCCCGGGUCAUGGUGGAUGUUAGCCUCGUGUGUCCAGGGAUGGCUGGAAGGGGAGAAGAAGUAGAGUUUACAUUCAACUUAGUGGAUCUGGUAUCAACUUAAAUGUAAUGGA
Oncorhynchus masou masou (cherry salmon) is the source of this 1067-nucleotide long non-coding RNA. RefSeq lists it as uncharacterized. Lineage: Eukaryota; Metazoa; Chordata; Actinopteri; Salmoniformes; Salmonidae. The transcript has 3 exons. The record is from RefSeq and is a predicted model, not a curated record.